RNAcentral lists this ribosomal RNA (496 nucleotides) under uncultured bacterium. RNAcentral describes it as "bacterial SSU rRNA". It matches the Rfam family "Bacterial small subunit ribosomal RNA", at positions 167 to 661 of the family's 1533-position model. The record is from RNAcentral.
UACCGCAUAACAUCUUUUGGCCUUCGGGCUGGGAGAUCAAAACCGCAAGGUGUCAGAGGAGGAGCCCGCGCCCGAUUAGCUUGUUGGCGGGGUAACGGCCCACCAAGGCUUUGAUCGGUAGCCGGUCUGAGAGGACGACCGGCCACACUGGAACUGAGACACGGUCCAGACUCCUACGGGAGGCAGCAGUGGGGAAUAUUGCGCAAUGGGCGAAAGCCUGACGCAGCGACGCCGCGUGGGGGAUGAAGCUUCUCGGAGUGUAAACCCCUUUCGACCCGGACGAAAAAUCCCGCAAGGGAUCUGACGGUACGGGUWUAAGAAGCCCCGGCUAACUACGUGCCAGCAGCCCGCGGUAAGACGUAGGGGGCCAGCGUUGCUCGGAAUAACUGGGCGUAAAGGGUUCGUAUGCGGUGUGGCAAGUCGGGAGUGAAAAUCCUGAGGCUUAACUUCAGGACUGCCUUCCGAAACUGCCAUGCUCGAGUGCGGGAGAAGGCUA